Long non-coding RNA from Colletes gigas, 250 nucleotides. RefSeq lists it as uncharacterized. The record is from RefSeq and is a predicted model, not a curated record. The transcript has 3 exons. Lineage: Eukaryota; Metazoa; Arthropoda; Insecta; Hymenoptera; Colletidae.
UAAAAUUAUACUAAUAUACAGUAUUUUUUAUUAAUUAUGUAUAAGGAAUAUAUGAAUAUCAUAACUAUAAGAUUUCAAGAAAAUAGAAGUGCGAAACAAGUUAAAACCAUCUUUGAACCAAACUGAAGGAUUUAAAAAUUGAUAAAGAUUGCAAAAAUUGAGAUUCUAAAUUGCCAUCAUUUAUUAUGGCUUCCAUUAUUGCAUACAUAUGAAUAAAUGAGGCUAUCACUUCUUCAGUGGGGACAGAAAG